AAGACAGCAGCUGAGACGGCAGCUUCUCAGGGCCAGAGCCAGUUCUUGGAGGAGACUCUGCACAGGGCAUGGAUCACUGUGGUGCCCUUUUCCUGUGCCUGUGCCUUCUCACUUUGCAGAAUGCAACAGCAGAGACAUGGAAAGAACUCCUGAGCUACAUGGAGAAUAUGCAGGUGUCCAGGGGUCGGAGCUCGUUUUUUUCCUCUCGGUGAGUUGGACGUGUCCCUCUCCUGUUUAGAGUUAGCUAUGCCUCCCACCCCAAGCCUGCACCUUGAAUCAGUGGGUCAGGGUUAGUCUAAUGUAGACUCUUAACUGUGCAUUUUUUCAGCACUUUUAUUGAGCACCUACUGCAUGCCUGACACUAGGCUCUGGGGAUG
Molecule: small RNA, 377 nt
Filed under: Pongo abelii (Sumatran orangutan)
Lineage: Eukaryota; Metazoa; Chordata; Mammalia; Primates; Hominidae
Description: retained intron
Source: RNAcentral